This 919-nucleotide ribosomal RNA is filed under the name uncultured haloarchaeon. Its description in RNAcentral is "bacterial SSU rRNA". It matches the Rfam family "Archaeal small subunit ribosomal RNA", at positions 1 to 922 of the family's 1478-position model. The record is from RNAcentral. Lineage: Archaea; Methanobacteriati; Methanobacteriota; Halobacteria; Halobacteriales; Halobacteriaceae.
UUCCGGUUGAUCCUGCCGGAGGCCAUUGCUAUCGGAGUCCGAUUUAGCCAUGCUAGUCGCACGGGUUUAGACCCGUGGCAGAUAGCUCAGUAACACGUGGCCAAACUACCCUAUGGACCGGAAUAACCUCGGGAAACUGAGGCUAAUUCCGGAUACAGCUCUCGUGCUGGAGUGCAGAGAGCUGGAAACGCUCCGGCGCCAUAGGAUGUGGCUGCGGCCGAUUAGGUAGACGGUGGGGUAACGGCCCACCGUGCCGAUAAUCGGUACGGGUUGUGAGAGCAAGAGCCCGGAGACGGUAUCUGAGACAAGAUACCGGGCCCUACGGGGCGCAGCAGGCGCGAAACCUUUACACUGCACGACAGUGCGAUAAGGGGACUCCGAGUGCGAGGGCAUAUAGUCCUCGCUUUUCUGUACCGUAGGGAGGUACAGGAACAAGUGCUGGGCAAGACCGGUGCCAGCCGCCGCGGUAAUACCGGCAGCACGAGUGAUGGCCGAUCUUAUUGGGCCUAAAGCGUCCGUAGCUGGCCAGACAAGUCCGUUGGGAAAUCGACGUGCCUAACGCGUCGGCGUCCAGCGGAAACUGUCCGGCUUGGGACCGGAAGACCCGAGGGGUACGUCCGGGGUAGGAGUGAAAUCCCGUAAUCCUGGACGGACCACCGGUGGCGAAAGCGCCUCGGGAAGACGGAUCCGACAGUGAGGGACGAAAGCUGGGGUCUCGAACCGGAUUAGAUACCCGGGUAGUCCCAGCCGUAAACGAUGUCCGCUAGGUGUGGCGCAGGCUACGAGCCUGCGCUGUGCCGUAGGGAAGCCGUGAAGCGGACCGCCUGGGAAGUACGUCUGCAAGGAUGAAACUUAAAGGAAUUGGCGGGGGAGCACUACAACCGGAGGAGCCUGCGGUUUAAUUGGACUCAACGCCGGA